Molecule: ribosomal RNA, 255 nt
Filed under: uncultured bacterium
Lineage: Bacteria
Description: partial 16S ribosomal RNA
Rfam family: Bacterial small subunit ribosomal RNA
Source: RNAcentral
UACGUAGGGACCAAGCGUUGUUCGGAUUUACUGGGCGUAAAGGGCGCGUAGGCGGCAUGACAAGUCACUUGUGAAAUCUCUGGGCUUAACCCAGAACGGCCAAGUGAUACUGUCGCGCUAGAGUGCAGAAAGGGCAAUCGGAAUUCUUGGUGUAGCGGUGAAAUGCGUAGAUAUCAAGAGGAACACCUGAGGCGAAGGCGGGUUGCUAGGCUGACACUGACGCUGGAGGCGACGAAAGCCAGGGGAGCAAACGGG